Molecule: transfer RNA, 73 nt
Filed under: Vicugna pacos (alpaca)
Lineage: Eukaryota; Metazoa; Chordata; Mammalia; Artiodactyla; Camelidae
Description: tRNA-Ala (AGC) (tRNA-Ala-AGC-375-1)
Rfam family: tRNA
About the family: Transfer RNA (tRNA) molecules are approximately 80 nucleotides in length. Their secondary structure includes four short double-helical elements and three loops (D, anti-codon, and T loops).
Source: RNAcentral
GGAGGGUAUAGCUCAGUGGUAGAGUACAUGCUUAGCAUGCAUGAGGCCUUGGGUUCAAUCCCCAGUACCUCCA